Molecule: ribosomal RNA, 1418 nt
Filed under: uncultured bacterium
Lineage: Bacteria
Description: bacterial SSU rRNA
Rfam family: Bacterial small subunit ribosomal RNA
Source: RNAcentral
GAGUUUGAUCAUGGCUCAGGACGAACGCUGGCGGCGUGCUUAACACAUGCAAGUCGAACGGCGAAGGGACCUGCUUUUGUGGGUCCUGGAUGAGUGGCGAACGGGUGAGUAACACGUGAGUAACCUGCCCCCUUCUUCUGGAUAACCGCAUGAAAGUGUGGCUAAUACGGGAUAUUCUGUGCCUGCUGCAUGGUGGGUGUGGGAAAGAUGCGCCUUUGGGUGUUUUUGGUGGGGGAUGGGCUCGCGGCCUAUCAGCUUGUUGGUGGGGUGAUGGCCUACCAAGGCGGUGACGGGUAGCCGGCCUGAGAGGGUGGACGGUCACACUGGGACUGAGACACGGCCCAGACUCCUACGGGAGGCAGCAGUGGGGAAUAUUGCACAAUGGGCGCAAGCCUGAUGCAGCGACGCCGCGUGAGGGAUGGAGGCCUUCGGGUUGUAAACCUCUUUCGCCAGUGAAGCAGGCCUGUCCCUUGUGGUUGGGUUGACGGUAGCUGGAUAAGAAGCGCCGGCUAACUACGUGCCAGCAGCCGCGGUAAUACGUAGGGCGCGAGCGUUGUCCGGAAUUAUUGGGCGUAAAGAGCUCGUAGGCGGCUGGUCGCGUCUGUCGUGAAAUCCUCUGGCUUAACUGGGGGCUUGCGGUGGGUACGGGCCGGCUUGAGUGCGGUAGGGGAGACUGGAACUCCUGGUGUAGCGGUGGAAUGCGCAGAUAUCAGGAAGAACACCGGUGGCGAAGGCGGGUCUCUGGGCCGUUACUGACGCUGAGGAGCGAAAGCGUGGGGAGCGAACAGGAUUAGAUACCCUGGUAGUCCACGCCGUAAACGUUGGGCACUAGGUGUGGGGGGCCUUUUCCGGGUCUUCCGCGCCGUAGCUAACGCAUUAAGUGCCCCGCCUGGGGAGUACGGCCGCAAGGCUAAAACUCAAAGGAAUUGACGGGGGCCCGCACAAGCGGCGGAGCAUGCGGAUUAAUUCGAUGCAACGCGAAGAACCUUACCAAGGCUUGACAUGUGCCGGUCGGCUCCGGAGACGGGGUUUCCUCCUUGUGGGGCCGGUUCACAGGUGGUGCAUGGUUGUCGUCAGCUCGUGUCGUGAGAUGUUGGGUUAAGUCCCGCAACGAGCGCAACCCUUGUCCCGUGUUGCCAGCACGUUGUGGUGGGGACUCGCGGGAGACUGCCGGGGUCAACUCGGAGGAAGGUGGGGAUGACGUCAAAUCAUCAUGCCCCUUAUGUCUUGGGCUUCACGCAUGCUACAAUGGCCGGUACAGAGGGCUGCGAUACCGUGAGGUGGAGCGAAUCCCUUAAAGCCGGUCUCAGUUCGGAUCGGUGUCUGCAACUCGACACCGUGAAGUUGGAGUCGCUAGUAAUCGCAGAUCAGCAACGCUGCGGUGAAUACGUUCUCGGGCCUUGUACACACCGCCCGUC